UAUGUACUCCCUCCGUCCGGAAAUACUUGUCAUCAAAAUGCAUAAAAGGGGAUGUAUCUAGAUGUAUUUUAGUUCUAGAUACAUCCCUUUUUGUCCAUUUUGAUGACAAGUAUUUUUGGACGGAGGGAGUACAUC
Triticum aestivum (bread wheat) is the source of this 135-nucleotide non-coding RNA. Lineage: Eukaryota; Viridiplantae; Streptophyta; Magnoliopsida; Poales; Poaceae. The record is from Rfam.